CGCACAUUGCGCCCGCCAGUACUCUGGCGGGCAUGCCUGUCCGAGCGUCAUUUCAACCCUCAAGCCCCCGGGCUUGGUGCUGGGGAUCGGCGAACGUCGCCGUCCCCCAAACCCAGUGGCGGUCCCGCCGAGCUUCCUCUGCGUAGUAGCAACACCUCGCACCGGAGCGCUCGCGGUCCCACGCCGUGAAACACCCCACUUCUGAACGUUGACCUCGGAUCAGGUAGGACUACCCGCUGAACUUAA
This 246-nucleotide unclassified non-coding RNA is filed under the name Nectriaceae sp. Its description in RNAcentral is "partial contains 5.8S ribosomal RNA, internal transcribed spacer 2, and large subunit ribosomal RNA". Lineage: Eukaryota; Fungi; Ascomycota; Sordariomycetes; Hypocreales; Nectriaceae. The record is from RNAcentral.